GAUGAACGCUGGCGGCGUGCCUAACACAUGCAAGUCGAGCGAUUCACUUCGGUGAAGAGCGGCGGACGGGUGAGUAACGCGUGGGUAACCUGCCUCACACACAUGGAUAACAUACCGAAAGGUAUGCUAAUACAGGAUAAUAUAAGAGAUUCACAUGUAUUUCUUAUCAAAGCUCCGGCGGUAUGAGAUGGACCCGCGUCUGAUUAGCUAGUUGGUAAGGUAACGGCUUACCAAGGCGACGAUCAGUAGCCGACCUGAGAGGGUGAUCGGCCACAUUGGGACUGAGACACGGCCCAG
RNAcentral lists this ribosomal RNA (297 nucleotides) under uncultured bacterium. Its description in RNAcentral is "partial 16S ribosomal RNA". It matches the Rfam family "Bacterial small subunit ribosomal RNA", at positions 28 to 334 of the family's 1533-position model. The record is from RNAcentral.